AGUGUAGGUGGCUCAUUAAGUCACAUGUGAAAUCCCCGGGCUUAACCUGGGAACUGCAUGUGAUACUGGUGGUGCUAGAAUAUGUGAGAGGGAAGUAGAAUUCCAGGUGUAGCGGUGAAAUGCGUAGAGGUCUGGAGGAAUACCGAUGGCGAAGGCAGCUUCCUGGCAUAAUAUUGACACUGAGAUUCGAAAGCGUGGGUAGCAAACA
This 208-nucleotide ribosomal RNA is filed under the name uncultured bacterium. RNAcentral describes it as "partial 16S ribosomal RNA". It matches the Rfam family "Bacterial small subunit ribosomal RNA", at positions 568 to 774 of the family's 1533-position model. The record is from RNAcentral.